Molecule: ribosomal RNA, 328 nt
Filed under: uncultured bacterium
Lineage: Bacteria
Description: bacterial SSU rRNA
Rfam family: Bacterial small subunit ribosomal RNA
Source: RNAcentral
GAUGAACGCUGGCGGCGUGCCUAACACAUGCAAGUCGAGCGAAGCGCCUUACUUGAUUUCUUCGGGAUGAAAGUAUCGUGACUGAGCGGGCGACGGGUGAAGGUACCGCGUAGGUAUAACCUGCCUCAUACAGGGGGAUAACAGUUAGAAAUGACUGCUAAUACCGCAUAAGACCACAGGAUCGCAUGAUCCGGUGGUAAAAACUCCGGUGGUAUGAGAUGGACCCGCGUCUGAUUAGCUAGUUGGUGGGGUAACGGCUCACCAAGGCGACGAUCGGUAGCCGGACUGAGAGGUUGAACGGCCACAUUGGGACUGAGACACGGCCCAG